RNAcentral lists this transfer RNA (75 nucleotides) under Armatimonadetes bacterium 13_1_40CM_3_65_7. Its description in RNAcentral is "tRNA-Pro". It matches the Rfam family "tRNA". Rfam says of the family: Transfer RNA (tRNA) molecules are approximately 80 nucleotides in length. Their secondary structure includes four short double-helical elements and three loops (D, anti-codon, and T loops). The record is from RNAcentral. Lineage: Bacteria; Bacillati; Armatimonadota. RNAcentral also lists the same sequence under 2 other names.
GGGGCUGUGGGGUAGCUUGGUCUAUCCUUCGGGGUUUGGGACCCUGCGACGGCAGUUCAAAUCUGCCCAGCCCCA